CGUCACAUUAGUUAGUUGGUGGGGUAAAGGCCUACCAAGACUAUGAUGUGUAGCCGGGCUGAGAGGUUGAACGGCCACAUUGGGACUGAGACACGGCCCAAACUCCUACGGGAGGCAGCAGUAGGGAAUUUUCGGCAAUGGAGGAAACUCUGACCGAGCAACGCCGCGUGAACGAUGAAGUAUUUCGGUACGUAAAGUUCUUUUAUUAGGGAAGAAUAAAUGAUGGAAAAAUCAUUCUGACGGUACCUAAUGAAUAAGCCCCGGCUAACUAUGUGCCAGCAGCCGCGGUAAUACAUAGGGGGCAAGCGUUAUCCGGAAUUAUUGGGCGUAAAGGGUGCGUAGGCGGUUAAAUAAGUUUAUGGUCUAAGUGCAAUGCUCAACAUUGUGAUGCUAUAAAAACUGUUUAGCUAGAGUAAGAUAGAGGCAAGUGGAAUUCCAUGUGUAGUGGUAAAAUGCGUAAAUAUAUGGAGGAACACCAGUAGCGAAGGCGGCUUGCUGGGUCUUUACUGACGCUGAGGCACGAAAGCGUGGGGAGCAAACAGGAUUAGAUACCCUGGUAGUCCACGCCGUAAACGAUGAGUACUAAACGUUGGGUAAAACCAGUGUUGAAGUUAACACAUUAAGUACUCCGCCUGAGUAGUACGUACGCAAGUAUGAAACUUAAAGGAAUUGACGGGACUCCGCACAAGCGGUGGAUCAUGUUGUUUAAUUCGAAGGUACCCGAAAAACCUCACCAGGUCUUGACAUGCUUCUGCAAAGCUGUAGAAACACAGUGGAGGUUAUCAGUUGCACAGGUGGUGCAUGGUUGUCGUCAGCUCGUGUCGUGAGAUGUUGGGUUAAGUCCCGCAACGAGCGCAACCCUUAUUGUUAGUUACCAGCACGUAAUGGUGGGGACUUUAGCAAGACUGCCAGUGAUAAAUUGGAGGAAGGUGGGGACGACGUCAAAUCAUCAUGCCCCUUAUGACCUGGGCUACAAACGUGAUACAAUGGCUGUUACAAAGGGUAGCUGAAGCGCAAGUUUUUGGCGAAUCUCAAAAAACAG
RNAcentral lists this ribosomal RNA (1042 nucleotides) under 'Prunus avium' phytoplasma. RNAcentral's name for it is "bacterial SSU rRNA". It matches the Rfam family "Bacterial small subunit ribosomal RNA", at positions 234 to 1285 of the family's 1533-position model. Lineage: Bacteria; Bacillati; Mycoplasmatota; Mollicutes; Acholeplasmatales; Acholeplasmataceae. The record is from RNAcentral.